Molecule: transfer RNA, 61 nt
Filed under: Nepiomorpha sp. NespEL
Lineage: Eukaryota; Metazoa; Arthropoda; Insecta; Psocodea; Elipsocidae
Description: tRNA-Thr
Rfam family: tRNA
About the family: Transfer RNA (tRNA) molecules are approximately 80 nucleotides in length. Their secondary structure includes four short double-helical elements and three loops (D, anti-codon, and T loops). Further hydrogen bonds mediate the characteristic L-shaped molecular structure. tRNAs have two regions of fundamental functional importance: the anti-codon, which is responsible for specific mRNA codon recognition, and the 3' end, to which the tRNAs corresponding amino acid is attached (by aminoacyl-tRNA synthetases). tRNAs cope with the degeneracy of the genetic code in two manners: having more than one tRNA (with a specific anti-codon) for a particular amino acid; and 'wobble' base-pairing, i.e. permitting non-standard base-pairing at the 3rd anti-codon position.
Source: RNAcentral
GUUUUAAUAAUUUAAAUAAAAUAUUGGUCUUGUAAACCAAAAAUGAAAAUUUCUUAAAACU